UACGGAGGGAGCUAGCGUUGUUCGGAUAUACUGGGCGUAAAGCGCACGUAGGCGGCGCAGCAAGUCAGGGGUGAAAUCCCGGAGCUCAACUCCGGAACUGCCUUCGAUACUGGAGAGCUCGAGUCCGGGAGAGGUGAGUGGAACUGCGAGUGUAGAGGUGAAAUUCGUAGAUAUUCGCAAGAACACCAGUGGCGAAGGCGGCUCACUGGCCCGGUACUGACGCUGAGGUGCGAAAGCGUGGGGAGCAAACAGG
This 253-nucleotide ribosomal RNA is filed under the name uncultured bacterium. Its description in RNAcentral is "partial 16S ribosomal RNA". It matches the Rfam family "Bacterial small subunit ribosomal RNA", at positions 524 to 776 of the family's 1533-position model. The record is from RNAcentral.